ACGUGACCCCGACCUUUUGCAAGGGAGGCUGGGAAAUCCAAGUCUUGGAAGCAUUGGCGUCUACUAUCGUUUCUGCUGCCGGUUUUACAGGUGAAGAACCCAAAAGCUGGCUCAAGGUCACCCUGUGAUGGCUUUUAAAUACUCACAAAGUGUUUGACACUCUUCAAAAGGUAGCACCUAACUCCCCUUGUCUUGAAUGUGAACCGGACCUAGAGACUCACUUCUAACAAAUAGAAGACAGUGAAAGUGAUAAUGUAUGACUUCUGAAGUUAGGCCAGAAAAGGCACAGCAACUUUUGCCCUGUUCUCUCUUGGAUGAUUCACUCUAGAAGAAGCCAGCUUCUAUGUCACGAAGAUGCUCAAGCGUCCUUGUGAAGAUGCCCAUGUGUAGACAAACUGAGGCCUCAUGCUAGCUGCCAGCACCAACUUGCCAGCCACACGAGUGGGCCUCUUGGAAGUCACCCUCCAGCCCCAGUCAACUCUUCAGAUGACUGCAAUCCUGGCCAAUGUAACUUGACCUCAAGAACAACUUGACUGAAUCAGAAGCACCAAGUCAAGAUGGCUCCCAAAUUCCUCCAAGAGAUAAGAGGCUCUUAUCGAUGUUUUAAAUUGUUAAGAGGAAAAGAAAUGGAGAGACAGGGCAGGAAGAAAAGAUUUCUGCUUCCCUGUUGUAGCAUAUUUGAUUGGCAGAUUCCUUUAGUGCAAACAGCUUCACCAGUGCCCAGGUCCUGGAGCGGCCAGCAAAACCCAGUAACCAGCAGGUCCUCCUGGCACUGACUCUUAGGCAGCAGUGUCAGCAGAGUGCCUCCAUCUCCUGCAGCUUCUCCAGCAUCCGGUACCUGCUGUGCACGUGGCUUCUCCAGCCUGAGGUUCCUGCGGCACUGACAGGUUCUCCAGCACCAGGCUCCUGCGGUAUGCGGGGGCUCCUGUACCCUGCCCAGGUGGUUUUGUCGUGGGUUGAACACCUUUGGCUCGACACAUCCCUGAGAAGAGCUCUCCCUGGCAUCUAAGGAGGCAGACUUCUGCAAGUGCCCCUGGCAUGACACCAAUGUGACCUUUCUACUCUCUGGCAAGCCACAGACUGUUCUCUUCAACAGGAUAUAGAUUACAACCUUGAGGUAGGAGGCAGAUAUCACUUUCUGGAAUGCUCUGUUUCAGCCUUAGUCUUGGGCACAAGGGCUGCUGCUGUGUCUGCUGUUCAUGUA
Bos taurus (domestic cattle) is the source of this 1204-nucleotide long non-coding RNA. The record is from Ensembl. Lineage: Eukaryota; Metazoa; Chordata; Mammalia; Artiodactyla; Bovidae.